This 513-nucleotide ribosomal RNA is filed under the name uncultured bacterium. RNAcentral's name for it is "partial 16S ribosomal RNA". It matches the Rfam family "Bacterial small subunit ribosomal RNA", at positions 28 to 523 of the family's 1533-position model. The record is from RNAcentral.
GAUGAACGCUGGCGGCGUGCCUAAUACAUGCAAGUCGAGCGAACAGACGAGGAGCUUGCUCCUCUGAUGUUAGCGGCGGACGGGUGAGUAACACGUGGAUAACCUACCUAUAAGACUGGGAUAACUUCGGGAAACCGGAGCUAAUACCGGAUAACAUAUUGAACCGCAUGGUUCAACAGUGAAAGACGGUCUUGCUGUCACUUAUAGAUGGAUCCGCGCCGCAUUAGCUAGUUGGUAAGGUAACGGCUUACCAAGGCAACGAUGCGUAGCCGACCUGAGAGGGUGAUCGGCCACACUGGAACUGAGACACGGUCCAGACUCCUACGGGAGGCAGCAGUAGGGAAUCUUCCGCAAUGGGCGAAAGCCUGACGGAGCAACGCCGCGUGAGUGAAGAAGGUCUUCGGAUCGUAAAACUCUGUUAUUAGGGAAGAACAAAUGUGUAAGUAACUAUGCACGUCUUGACGGUACCUAAUCAGAAAGCCACGGCUAACUACGUGCCAGCAGCCGCGGUAA